AUUUCGUCCUGAUGGAAGUGACAUCCUCUUGUGGCGGUGUUCGCCACAAGAGAUAAAACGGACAGCAGGUUGAAUC
Molecule: small RNA, 76 nt
Filed under: Flavobacterium sp. 5
Lineage: Bacteria; Pseudomonadati; Bacteroidota; Flavobacteriia; Flavobacteriales; Flavobacteriaceae
Description: Flavo-1 RNA
Rfam family: Flavo-1 RNA
Source: RNAcentral